This is a non-coding RNA of Schistosoma haematobium, 45 nucleotides long. The record is from Rfam. Lineage: Eukaryota; Metazoa; Platyhelminthes; Trematoda; Strigeidida; Schistosomatidae.
AUUCAGUUGACGAGUCCCAAACAGGACGGAACACGUGUCCUGGAU